GCCACAAUCACAUAGAGAAUGAUCCCUAAUUCUAAGUUUUGCUAGAAAGACUGGAGUGCAGGCAUGGUUUAAACGGUAGAGCACAAGUCAUGAGUGAAUAUUUCUGAAUACUGAAAGGAACCUGAAUGAGCAGCUGAUCUAGCACAGGCAUCUGCAUUUUCAUUACCAGAGAUGCCCAUGUGACCUGGAAUCCAAGCUAAAACUAUGUUAAUUUUGAGUUCAUAGCACUCUUUCAAAGUUUCUCUUAUUUUGAGAAUGAUGGGAAACUGACUUUUUGUCUUAAACGGAUUUGAGAGAAUUGAUUGGAGGCAACUUUUAGAGUCUGAAAGGAUAAUAGAAUUGUUCAUGUUGUGAGACUUAACAAAUAGAAUAGCUUCAAGAAUGGCGAUUGAUUCCCCUGUGAACACAGAAGUGGUGGGUGGGCAGCUAUAACUCAGUAUAAUUCUUGUUGAGGGAAUCCAUACUGCAGCCCCAACCGGACUCAUGUCUGUUUUUGAAGCAUCCGUGUAGAUUUUAUACCAAUGUCGAAAAUCUGAGUCCAUUAUAUGAGAAAAAGUUUUAUUUGCUUCUAUAGAAAACUUAUCAACACCUAAGUCUAAAAUUACUGAGGGUUGGAAAGUAAGAGCAUUGAAAGGCAUAGAAAAUAAAGGCAAUUUAGAAUAUUGAAAGAGAGGGUUAGAGAGCUGAGAAAAUAAAAGAAACUUUUGCAAGAGCAGAAGAGAGGGCAAUUGGCCUAUAGCUGGUAGCUUCAGAUGGAUUCUGACCAGGUUUAAGUAAUGUAAUAAUUACCUGAU
Long non-coding RNA from Leptidea sinapis, 794 nucleotides. RefSeq lists it as uncharacterized. Lineage: Eukaryota; Metazoa; Arthropoda; Insecta; Lepidoptera; Pieridae. The transcript has 3 exons. The record is from RefSeq and is a predicted model, not a curated record.